Teleopsis dalmanni is the source of this 117-nucleotide small nuclear RNA. RefSeq annotates it as U5 spliceosomal RNA. The transcript has a single exon. The record is from RefSeq and is a predicted model, not a curated record. NCBI's taxonomy places the organism in Eukaryota, Metazoa, Arthropoda, Insecta, Diptera, Diopsidae.
AAUCAGGGGCUUCUCUUCAGUUGUCGAAUAAAUCUUUCGCCUUUUACUAAAUAUUUCCGUGGAGAGUAGUAAUUUAAUAAAAUGUUGGGUACGAGUGGAACCUAUGUAUAUAUAUGU